This 491-nucleotide ribosomal RNA is filed under the name uncultured Acholeplasma sp. RNAcentral's name for it is "bacterial SSU rRNA". It matches the Rfam family "Bacterial small subunit ribosomal RNA", at positions 887 to 1382 of the family's 1533-position model. The record is from RNAcentral. Lineage: Bacteria; Bacillati; Mycoplasmatota; Mollicutes; Acholeplasmatales; Acholeplasmataceae.
GCCCGCUCAGAAACUUAAAGGAAUUGACGGGACCCCGCACAAGCGGUGGAUCAUGUUGUUUAAUUUCGAUGAUACGCGAAGAACCUUACCAGGUCUUGACAUCCCCCGCGAUGCUUUAGAGAUAAAGCGGAGGUAUUCGGGGAGACAGGUGGUGCAUGGUUGUCGUCAGCUCGUGUCGUGAGAUGUUGGGUUAAGUCCCGCAACGAGCGCAACCCCUAUUGCUAGUUACCAUCAUUAAGUUGGGGACUCUAGCGAGACUGCCAGUGAUAAACUGGAGGAAGGUGGGGAUGACGUCAAAUCAUCAUGCCCCUUAUGACCUGGGCUACAAACGUGAUACAAUGGCUGGAACAAAGGGAUGCGAAGCAGUGAUGUGGAGCGAAACCCAUAAAAACAGUCUCAGUUCGGAUUGAAGUCUGCAACUCGACUUCAUGAAGUCGGAAUCGCUAGUAAUCGCGGAUCAGAACGCCGCGGUGAAUACGUUCUCGGGGUUU